Molecule: non-coding RNA, 155 nt
Organism: Caenorhabditis elegans
Lineage: Eukaryota; Metazoa; Nematoda; Chromadorea; Rhabditida; Rhabditidae
Source: Ensembl
UGAGGCGGAACAUUGCGCAAUCGACCGGUGUGUGAGCAGUUUACAAUAAGUGGGAGAGAAAGAGGGUAAGUAUACGGGAGCAGAUGUACCAACAUGUGUGCACGCCGUUCUACAGGAGCUUAUGUAACAGGAAGCAGGAGUAAAAUAUACGGGCA